RNAcentral lists this ribosomal RNA (1063 nucleotides) under Anabaena sp. Treb K1_8. RNAcentral describes it as "bacterial SSU rRNA". It matches the Rfam family "Bacterial small subunit ribosomal RNA", at positions 359 to 1436 of the family's 1533-position model. The record is from RNAcentral. Lineage: Bacteria; Bacillati; Cyanobacteriota; Cyanophyceae; Nostocales; Nostocaceae.
GGAUUUUCCGCAAUGGGCGAAAGCCUGACGGAGCAAUACCGCGUGAGGGAGGAAGGCUCUUGGGUCGUAAACCUCUUUUCUCAGGGAAGAACACAAUGACGGUACCUGAGGAAUAAGCAUCGGCUAACUCCGUGCCAGCAGCCGCGGUAAUACGGAGGAUGCAAGCGUUAUCCGGAAUGAUUGGGCGUAAAGCGUCCGCAGGUGGCAAUGUAAGUCUGCUGUUAAAGAGUCUAGCUCAACUAGAUAAGAGCAGUGGAAACUACAUAGCUAGAGUACGUUCGGGGCAGAGGGAAUUCCUGGUGUAGCGGUGAAAUGCGUAGAGAUCAGGAAGAACACCGGUGGCGAAGGCGCUCUGCUAGGCCGUAACUGACACUGAGGGACGAAAGCUAGGGGAGCGAAUGGGAUUAGAUACCCCAGUAGUCCUAGCCGUAAACGAUGGAUACUAGGCGUGGCUUGUAUCGACCCGAGCCGUGCCGUAGCUAACGCGUUAAGUAUCCCGCCUGGGGAGUACGCCGGCAACGGUGAAACUCAAAGGAAUUGACGGGGGCCCGCACAAGCGGUGGAGUAUGUGGUUUAAUUCGAUGCAACGCGAAGAACCUUACCAAGGCUUGACAUGUCGCGAAUCCUGGUGAAAGCUGGGAGUGCCUUCGGGAGCGCGAACACAGGUGGUGCAUGGCUGUCGUCAGCUCGUGUCGUGAGAUGUUGGGUUAAGUCCCGCAACGAGCGCAACCCUCGUUUUUAGUUGCCAGCAUUAAGUUGGGCACUCUAGAGAGACUGCCGGUGACAAACCGGAGGAAGGUGGGGAUGACGUCAAGUCAGCAUGCCCCUUACGCCUUGGGCUACACACGUACUACAAUGCUCCGGACAGAGGGCAGCAAGCAUGCGAAUGCAAGCAAAUCCCGUAAACCGGAGCUCAGUUCAGAUCGCAGGCUGCAACUCGCCUGCGUGAAGGAGGAAUCGCUAGUAAUUGCAGGUCAGCAUACUGCAGUGAAUUCGUUCCCGGGCCUUGUACACACCGCCCGUCACACCAUGGAAGCUGGUAGUGCUCCGAAGUCAUUACUCC